AUUUUUGAGACAGGGUCUCUCUGUGUAGCUCUGUCCUGGAACUCACUACACAGACCAGACUGGCCUCAAACUCUGCUUGCUUCUUCCUUCCCAAUGCUGGAUUUAAGAUGUGCUCUACCAUGCCUGUCCCCCAUCUUAAUAUUUAUAUAUUGUGUGUGUGGACAAGGCAUGUCACAAUUCACGUGUAAUCAGAGAACCAUCCCAAGAGUGAGUUCUCUCCUUCCACAACGUGGGUUCCAGGGACUGACCUCAGGUUGUCAGGAGCCAUCCCACUGGCCCACAUAUUCUCUUUUGAAGGGGUAUAAUGAUCUAUUAAUUAUAUACCUAUGCAGUUCUACAAAAUGUAUCGUUUUGAGAGCUUACUUAUUGUCUAUGAAGUUUACUAAAUGAAAGACAUCUGCCACUAGCAAUGUACUUUUUAGAGACUGAGUGUGUGUCCACAAGCAUAUGCAUGAGAGUGUAAGUGUCUGAGGGCCAGAGGUGCGGUGUAGACAAGGCUGUCCUCCAGUUCUCAGCGAUCCACAUGCCUCUUAUUCUGAGGGCUGGGAGUUUGGGGAUUAAAGGCAAUUUAUUUUCAAACAUUCAUUUUCAUACUGUUUUAUUAAUUUCUUAGCAUUUAGCAUAUGACUGAAAUACUUUUUUAGCUAUCCUAGUUUGAGAAUUCCGAGAACAGAAUAAUUUAUUUUCACUUAACAAAGUAAUGAUUAUUUUGCAACUAUUUCCUAUGACCAUGGCCAAUGGUCUCUAAGCAAUCGUGACUAUAUAAUGACCCUAAAGAUGGUAGUGUUUAGGAGUCAAGCAUUUUAUGUCUCACAAAAAAACAUGUCCUAUGGCAUGAAUUAUCCACACACACACAAAAAAAACUAUGUGUUGAGUGUUUUGCCUGCAUAAUGUAAGUGUGCUACAUCUACGCCCGGUGCCCAGAGGCAGGAGAAGGGCCAGACAUAGGAACCAAACCUAGGUCCUCUGCAAGAGCAGCCAGGGCUCUGGGCCACUCCGCCAUCUCUCUAGCUCCACUAAAAAUAAUAAUAGUAAAAUAAAAAGAAAACCUUUAAGAAUUAAUGGCAUGUCUUUAAUUUCUGGCCUUGUUAGAAUUUUGUCAGUUUAAAAUAUAUUUACUGCCCAGUGGCGGCAGUGGCGAACGCCUUUAAUCCCAGCACUUGGGAGACAGAGACAGGCAGAUCUAUGAGUUUGACGCCAGGACAGUUAGGGAUACACAAAGAAACUCCAGCUCGAAAACAUAUGCGUAUAUACAUAUGUAUAAGAAAUAGUGACACAAAUCCAUAAAGUUUACCAAUGACUUGAAAUUCCAUGAAGCUGAGGUAUCAAUUUAUUUGAGAAUUUAAUUUUACUAAAAUUAGCAAUCUCAUAAGCAUCUUUUUACAAAUCUUUCUUUUUCCAGAUUUCUUUAAAAUAAAGACCUAGUGAUUGGAUCAUCAAAAAAUUGAAAUGAACAUUUGAGUGAACCUGUGAACUCCUCUACAGAGGGCCUGACUUUCAGGAUAGUUGAGCAAGCGCGCUCACGUCACAGCCAGUUAGGUCACCAAACUGGAAUAUGAAUUAUAGCUCUCUUAGAUUUGUACACUUCAGACACUGUACUUGUUAUAAAAAUUAUUUCCAGGUCUGGGGAUAUGGUUCACUUGGUAAAGUAUUUGCUGACACAUCCGCAAAGCCCUGGAUUCGAUCCCCAGCAUACAUAAAGGAGAUGCUGUGCUCACACUGGGAAUUGCAGCAGUCUGAGGCAGAGGCAGAGAAUCGGGCAUUCAGUCCAACCUCAGCUAUGCAGGAAUUCCAGGCCAGCUUGGAAUGUCUAAAUAAAGUAAUAAAUUUUAUUUCCAUCGA
This is a non-coding RNA of Myodes glareolus (Bank vole), 1842 nucleotides long. NCBI's taxonomy places the organism in Eukaryota, Metazoa, Chordata, Mammalia, Rodentia, Cricetidae. The record is from RefSeq and is a predicted model, not a curated record.